CACGUAGGGGGCAAGCGUUGUCCGGAUUUAUUGGGCGUAAAGGGCGCGCAGGCGGCCACGCACGUCCGUUGUGAAAUCGCCCGGCUCAACUGGGCGGGGUCGGCGGAUACGGCGUGGCUGGAGCAAGCUAGGGGGUAGUGGAAUUCCCGGUGUAGUGGUGGAAUGCGUAGAUAUCGGGAGGAACACCAGUGGCGAAGGCGGCUACCUGGGGCUUUGCUGACGCUGAGGCGCGAAAGCGUGGGGAGCGAUCCGG
This 253-nucleotide ribosomal RNA is filed under the name uncultured bacterium. RNAcentral's name for it is "partial 16S ribosomal RNA". It matches the Rfam family "Bacterial small subunit ribosomal RNA", at positions 524 to 776 of the family's 1533-position model. The record is from RNAcentral.